Non-coding RNA from Acidobacteria bacterium 13_1_40CM_56_16, 87 nucleotides. The record is from Rfam. Lineage: Bacteria; Pseudomonadati; Acidobacteriota.
GGAGAGAUGUCCGAGUGGUUUAAGGAGCACGCUUGGAAAGCGUGUGUGGGGGUGACUCCACCGUGGGUUCGAAUCCCACUCUCUCCG